Molecule: ribosomal RNA, 460 nt
Filed under: uncultured bacterium
Lineage: Bacteria
Description: partial 16S ribosomal RNA
Rfam family: Bacterial small subunit ribosomal RNA
Source: RNAcentral
CCUACGGGAGGCAGCAGUGAGGAAUAUUGGUCAAUGGGCGCGAGCCUGAACCAGCCAAGUCGCGUGAGGGAUGAAGGUUCUAUGGUUCGUAAACCUCUUUUAUAAGGGAAUAAAGUGUGGGACGUGUCCUAUUUUGUAUGUACCUUAUGAAUAAGGAUCGGCUAACUCCGUGCCAGCAGCCGCGGUAAUACGGAGGAUCCGAGCGUUAUCCGGAUUUAUUGGGUUUAAGGGGUGCGUAGGCGGCCAUUUAAGUCAGCGGUGAAAGUCUGUGGCUCAACCAUAGAAUUGCCGUUGAAACUGGGUGGCUUGAGUAUGUUUGAGGCAGGCGGAAUGCGUGGUGUAGCGGUGAAAUGCGUAGAUAUCACGCAGAACCCCGAUUGCGAAGGCAGCCUGCUAAGCCAUGACUGACGCUGAUGCACGAAAGCGUGGGGAUCAAACAGGAUUAGAUACCCGUGUAGUC